RNAcentral lists this ribosomal RNA (498 nucleotides) under uncultured Sphingobacteriales bacterium. RNAcentral's name for it is "bacterial SSU rRNA". It matches the Rfam family "Bacterial small subunit ribosomal RNA", at positions 903 to 1382 of the family's 1533-position model. Lineage: Bacteria; Pseudomonadati; Bacteroidota; Sphingobacteriia; Sphingobacteriales. The record is from RNAcentral.
GCCAGCCCGCUCAGAACUUAAAGGAAUUGACGGGGCCCGCACAAGCGGAGGAGCAUGUGGUUUAAUUCGAUGAUACGCGAGGAACUUACCCUGGGCUCGAACGUAAGAUGACUGUAGGUGAAAGCUUACAUCUCUUCGGAGCAUUUUACGAGGUGCUGCAUGGUUGUCGUCAGCUCGUGCCGUGAGGUGUCGGGUUAAGUCCCAUAAACGAGCGCAACCCCUACCUUUAGUUGCCAUCAGGUUAAGCUGGGGACUCUAAAGGAACUGCCUACGCAAGUAGUGAGGAAGGCGGGGAUGACGUCAAAUCAGCACGGCCCUUACGUCCAGGGCUACACACGUGCUACAAUGGCCGAUACAGAGGGCAGCUACCUGGUGACAGGAUGCAAAUCUCCAAAGUCGGUCUCAGUUCGGAUCGGAGUCUGCAACCCGACUCCGUGAAGUUGGAUUCGCUAGUAAUCGCGCAUCAGCCAUGGCGCGGUGAAUACGUUCCCGGGCCUU